UACACUUAUCAAAGUGUUGCAGAGACUUGUGAAAUGUAAAAUGUGAAAAUAAGUACAUUUAUAUUGGAUGGUUUGGUUAGUGUGGCAGAAUAACAUGUCAGUUUUGUUAUUUCAUCUUGGUAGAGAACUUGAGUUUCUGAAUGAAGUGAGGUGUUUUUGCCUUGAAGAAAUGACUGCCUACUCCUGCAAAUCCUGCUGCUGCAGCUCUCAGCCACCCGUGAUGCUGGCAGUUCGUUAUCUAGCCUUUAAGAAAACAACUUGGCAAAGAGUACCCACACAGCCAAUGUCAAGGCUGUUGGGACACAAGCCAUUCUAUCAGAAUAGAAGUUUUUCAUUUGUGAAGUUCUCUCAUCCCUUUAGUAUUCUUCAAUUACAGAUCCAUCAAAAAAAAGAAAGGAUGAAAAUGGUAAAUUUGACCACGAAGUAACAGAGGCAGCUAUGAAAGACCAAGAGGGAAGCAAUGGUAACAGAAUUUAUUAUAUAGACGUUGCAUUUUGGAACCAAUGAACUCACACCUGGACUCUGACAGAGACACGGUGGACUAGAGGUUUAAGUGAAGCACUGACCAGGGGGGCCACCGUGGAGUGCCAAAGCUGGACUGCUACAUUAUUACUACUUUUUUAAAACGGCCCUUGUAAAUACUUUUUCUCUACUGCAACGGAUUUGUAAAAAAAAAAAAGAAAAAAGAAAAAAAAAAUCAUUUUUGAGGGUGAGUUUUGUUACAUUUAUAAUAGGAGGACCUUGAUGUUUUCCCUUAAUAUUUACAAAGGAAUGUUAAACAUUUUUUUUUGUGUGAGAACAGUUAAGCCAGGUACCAGCUGGUAAAUUUUUGAUAGUUGAAUCCAAGAGACUACAUUUUGGUCCUUACCAUUUUAAUGGCACUUACUCUUUCAAGAUUAUAAAGACUUUUGGUGCUCUUCUGAAAACAUCUCAUCCCUCAGACAAGGACAGUUUAAUGGGCUUUUCUUUGGAUGGCAGAACCAUCUUCUUCAAUCUCAUUUUGGCCAAGAGUACAGAGACAGCCUGGACAUAAUCAAACAAUAAUGCACAGUUCAUGUUUUUUUGUAGUCAUAGAUUCAUUUUUGCAAUAUUAUUGUCGCAUCAAAAUGGUCUUUAUCGUGUUGACUUCCUCUGGUAUCCAAGGCAGAGUUCCGUUUUUGUUGAAGAGCUGUUCUGAACAGCUUUUUAUUUUUUUUCUGCCGCUGCUCUAGUGUCAUGUUCAGACAUGUAUCAGGAAUACUGUAAUGCUAUCAAGAAUCCUGCUUGCUCUUUUUAAAACCAGUCUGCUGUAAUUCAAUAAAACACAUCCAA
Chanos chanos (milkfish) is the source of this 1311-nucleotide long non-coding RNA. RefSeq lists it as uncharacterized. The transcript is spliced from 2 exons. NCBI's taxonomy places the organism in Eukaryota, Metazoa, Chordata, Actinopteri, Gonorynchiformes, Chanidae. The record is from RefSeq and is a predicted model, not a curated record.